Molecule: transfer RNA, 72 nt
Filed under: Myxococcales bacterium
Lineage: Bacteria; Pseudomonadati; Myxococcota; Myxococcia; Myxococcales
Description: tRNA-Gln
Rfam family: tRNA
About the family: Transfer RNA (tRNA) molecules are approximately 80 nucleotides in length. Their secondary structure includes four short double-helical elements and three loops (D, anti-codon, and T loops).
Source: RNAcentral
UGGGGCGUCGGCAAGUGGUAAGCCAGCGGGUUUUGAUUCCGCCUACCGUAGGUUCGAAUCCUACCGCCCCAA